RNAcentral lists this ribosomal RNA (352 nucleotides) under uncultured bacterium. RNAcentral describes it as "bacterial SSU rRNA". It matches the Rfam family "Bacterial small subunit ribosomal RNA", at positions 8 to 350 of the family's 1533-position model. The record is from RNAcentral.
AGAGUUUAAUCCUGGCUCAGGAUGAACGCUAGCUACAGGCUUAACACAUGCAAGUCGAGGGGAAACGACAUCGAAAGCUUGCUUUUGAUGGGCGUCGACCGGCGCACGGGUGAGUAACGCGUAUCCAACCUGCCCACCACUUGGGGAUAACCUUGCGAAAGUAAGACUAAUACCCAAUGAUAUCUCUAGAAGACAUCUGAAAGAGAUUAAAGAUUUAUCGGUGAUGGAUAGGGAUGCGUCUGAUUAGCUUGUUGGCGGGGUAACGGCCACCAAGGCGACGAUCAGUAGGGGCUCUGAGAGGAAGGUCCCCCACAUUGGAACUGAGACACGGUCCAAACUCCUACGGGAGGCA